AAGUCGUAACAAGGUCUCCGUUGGUGAACCAGCGGAGGGAUCAUUACAGAGAACUGUUUCUCACACCAUGGCGAACUUACCCCCCCAGAUGACGUUCCUUCGGCGGAGCGGUCCCCGUGGCCGCGCCGCCGGAGGGCUCCAACCAAACACUGUAUUUUAUGGGUUCCUUCUGAGUAUGAUUUUCACAAUCAGUCAAAACUUUCAACAACGGAUCUCUUGGCUCUG
RNAcentral lists this unclassified non-coding RNA (225 nucleotides) under fungal sp. RNAcentral describes it as "partial internal transcribed spacer region". The stretch from base 1 to 46 matches the Rfam family "Eukaryotic small subunit ribosomal RNA", at positions 1786 to 1831 of the family's 1831-position model. Lineage: Eukaryota; Fungi. The record is from RNAcentral.